UGCAAGUCGAACGGCAGCACGGGAGCAAUCCUGGUGGCGAGUGGCGAACGGGUGAGUAAUAUAUCGGAACGUGCCCAGUCGUGGGGGAUAACGCAGCGAAAGCUGUGCUAAUACCGCAUACGAUCUAUGGAUGAAAGCGGGGGACCGUAAGGCCUCGCGCGAUUGGAGCGGCCGAUAUCAGAUUAGCUUGUUGGUGGGGUAAAAGCCCACCAAGGCGACGAUCUGUAGCUGGUCUGAGAGGACGACCAGCCACACUGGAACUGAGACACGGUCCAGACUCCUACGGGAGGCAGCAGUGGGGAAUUUUGGACAAUGGGCGCAAGCCUGAUCCAGCAAUGCCGCGUGCAGGAUGAAGGCCUUCGGGUUGUAAACUGCUUUUGUACGGAACGAAACGGCUCUUUCUAAUAAAGAGGGCUAAUGACGGUACCGUAAGAAUAAGCACCGGCUAACUACGUGCCAGCAGCCGCGGUAAUGCGUAGGGUGCGAGCGUUAAUCGGAAUUACUGGGCGUAAAGCGUGCGCAGGCGGUUAUAUAAGACAGAUGUGAAAUCCCCGGGCUCAACCUGGGACCUGCAUUUGUGACUGUAUAGCUAGAGUACGGUAGAGGGGGAUGGAAUUCCGCGUGUAGCAGUGAAAUGCGUAGAUAUGCGGAGGAACACCGAUGGCGAAAGCAAUCCCCUGGACCUGUACUGACGCUCAUGCACGAAAGCGUGGGGAGCAAACA
RNAcentral lists this ribosomal RNA (723 nucleotides) under uncultured bacterium. Its description in RNAcentral is "bacterial SSU rRNA". It matches the Rfam family "Bacterial small subunit ribosomal RNA", at positions 56 to 774 of the family's 1533-position model. The record is from RNAcentral.